AUGUAUUUUUACUCCAUUCAGAUUGAUUCAAAAGUUUGGUUUCUUUUUCUUUUCAUAGAUGCCUUUAAAGUUAAUUUGAAAAAUACUGAUAGAGCUGUUCGAGGCACUGAGCAAACUUGUGAACGACUAGCAAACGGAAAAAUCAUGGAAAACAGCACCUUGUUAAAUGCCAGUGAGACUCAGUUCGAUGUGAUAAAUGUAUCUGAAGAAACUUUAAACCGUCAAGAAGAUAAGCGAAAAAAUAUGUCAAUUACGACACCAAUUACUAACUUAGACAAGUUGUCUGCAGAGGAUACUUGUGAACAGCAAGUAUGUAAGAGAACCUCACGAUACAUCAACUGUGAGUUACGUACAAAUGAAGAGUUACAAAUUGUUAAAGAAAACUCUUUGGUUGAUUCCGAUGAAACUCAAUUUGAGACAACAGACACAUCGCAAGAAAAGCUAGGGCAAUAUAAAAGCAACACAAUAACUACAACUUUACUUGAGAACUUACAGGAAACAUCUAAGAAAAUUAAUGAAACUGCUUCUCUCUCCUUAGCUCCGGGAAGUCAAUUCUACUCUCACUGUUUUCUGAACGAAAAACUUCAAUCCCACAUUCAAUGUCUGAAGGCUUCUCAGCAAAAAGAAAAAAACAAGAACAUAGAAAAACUCUGCUUUAACAAUGAGGAGCUUAAUACCACAAACCUAAUCAAAGAUGACCUAAAUAAUCUUAAAAGCUCUACCCCAUUAAAGGUGGACAAAAUAAAUACGAAUGAGAGAGCACCAUUUUUUUCUUGCGCAAAAAAAUACCAAGAAAGAACAGAACAAACAGAGGCUGAGGCAUUGAAGCAGAAUUGUAAAUUUGAAAAUAUGACGGCAAGUAAUUCAAAUUACAAGGUUGCAAUUUUUUAUCCACCUGACUCAAGUGAACUGCGUUAUUCACAACUGGGUGCAAUGCUGCAAGAGCAUGCAAACCCACACUUUCUGGACAGUUUGAAAUGGGACUCAGUCCAUAAAAUUGAUGAUAAUACAUCGGAUGAGCGAAUGGUCUUUUUCACAAAAUUUUACCGUGCUGUGGAUCAAUUUUCAUGUAUGAUAAAUUCUGAAAUAAAUCAAAGAGAUUUAGAUGCUUUCGAUGAAUUCACCACCAGAAUGAGUUGCCUGAAGAUAAAUAGUGCAACAACUCAGAUGAGCUCAAUUUUUGAAAGCCACAACUGCAGGAACAUAACAAGGUCAGAACUUGAUCCUCAGACUAAGUGUCAACGAGAGCAAGGAACGAACACAGAGGAGAUGUUGACCGGUUUAUUGCGAUUGAUCUUUGGGUACAUGAAUGAUGUGCUGAGUGAUUGGUCUAAGUUACAUGAUGCAACCUUUGAUUGGCCAAAUUUGCUGGUGGAAAGGGUAUUUACUGAUAUAAAGCGCUACUUUGAUGAGAGACUCAACAAGAUGUCUCCUGACAAAAACACGAGGACAAGCUUUGAUAUUUGCUGCAAUUUCAUCAAGGCAACAAUAGACGGUAUACUGACAUCCGAUGAUACAUGUCAGGUAAAUAAAUUUUGA
RNAcentral lists this long non-coding RNA (1539 nucleotides) under Bemisia tabaci. Its description in RNAcentral is "lncRNA ENSSSA1UGG011110". Lineage: Eukaryota; Metazoa; Arthropoda; Insecta; Hemiptera; Aleyrodidae. The record is from RNAcentral.